UAAUACGUAGGUGGCGAGCGUUGUCCGGAUUUACUGGGCGUAAAGCGCGUGCAGGCGGUUCGUUAAGUCUGGGGUGAAAUCUCCCGGCUCAACUGGGAGGGGUUCUCAGAUACUGGCGGACUUGAGGGAGGUAGAGGAGAGUAGAAUUCUCGGUGUAGUGGUGAUAUGCGUAGAUAUCGAGAGGAAUACCAGUGGCGAAGGCGGCUCUCUGGACCUUACCUGACGCUAAGACGCGAAAGCGUGGGGAGCGAACCGGAUUAGAUACCCGGGUAGUCCACGCCGUAAACGAUGGACACUAGGUGUGGGGGGUAUCGACCCCCUCCGUGCCGAAGCUAACGCAAUAAGUGUCCCGCCUGGGGAGUACGGCCGCAAGGCUA
Molecule: ribosomal RNA, 377 nt
Filed under: uncultured bacterium
Lineage: Bacteria
Description: bacterial SSU rRNA
Rfam family: Bacterial small subunit ribosomal RNA
Source: RNAcentral